UUGUUGGAGCAGUACCGGGUAAUGGCACAGCCUGGCCAUGGCUUUCGGCAGAGCAAUCUCCCAAACCAGGCAAGCGAUAGCCGGAGGAGCGUUCGGAGAACUGGCUCAGCCAGUGCAAGUGUCUUUCUGCGGCAGACUGCCGUAAUGAGAGGAUAUUCUGCUCUCCAGGGGACACAGGCUUCUCUUCCCUACAGCGUGGAAUUCCCCGGCCGCUCUUACUCACAAGCAGCCUUUGACUCGAGGAUGUCCAUCCACCCGGUUACAGGAGCGGUUGAGAUCGGUCCCCUUUGGAGCUGUUACUUGUGCUCGGGUAGACCAGGAGCAUAGCCUCGGGGCAGAGUACUGCGUGGAAAAGGACUGGGCAAGCCCGAGACAUAAAAAUGUCCCCCAAGGAUUUACAGCCUAGACAUGACGGAAGGAAGCAAAUGGUUUCAUACGGACGGAAGGAAGCAAUGAGACUCUGUUCGCCAGCACAAUUAGCAGUGCUCUCAGCACAGUGUCCAUGAAAACACUGGUAACUUCUGUGGUCAUUACGGCAAAGAAGAGAGAGAUGUGAAAACAGAUGAUGCGGGUAAAUACCGACACAGGGAUGGGCACUCGAGGGGCAGCAGGACGGCGUCACAUUUUCAAGGGAUGCUGUGGGCAGUGGGGAUCGGUCCUACGGGACCCGCGGCUGUCCCAGCACACAGCCUUUUUGCCGAUCGUCAGCCUGUCUCCUCCACGUUCUGCUCGCUUUGCUUAUCAAAGCUGAUAGUGUUGCCUUGUGUCAACUACGUGGAGGGUGUGUCUACUUUGACAACUUUGCUUUCAUAAGCAUUGCUUCAGUGAUGUUUGUGCAACCACACUGGAAUAUGAUUUUAUCUUGUCACUUGUAAUUACCAUCAAUGAUUUGCAUAAUAGCCAUUAGGCAUCACUUAUUAAAUACUUCUUUGAUGUGAUACUGA
Molecule: long non-coding RNA, 944 nt
Organism: Oxyura jamaicensis (ruddy duck)
Lineage: Eukaryota; Metazoa; Chordata; Aves; Anseriformes; Anatidae
Exons: 2
Source: RefSeq, a predicted model, not a curated record